This 165-nucleotide ribosomal RNA is filed under the name uncultured bacterium. Its description in RNAcentral is "partial 16S rRNA". It matches the Rfam family "Bacterial small subunit ribosomal RNA", at positions 355 to 511 of the family's 1533-position model. The record is from RNAcentral.
UAGGGAAUCUUCCACAAUGGACGCAAGUCUGAUGGAGCAACGCCGCGUGAGUGAAGAAGGUCUUCGGAUCGUAAAGCUCUGUUGUAAGAGAAGAACGUGUGUGAGAGUGGAAAGUUCACACAGUGACGGUAACUUACCAGAAAGGGACGGCUAACUACGCGCCAG